AGCAGCCGCGGUAAUUCCAGCUCCAAUAGCGUAUAUUAAAGUUGCUGCAGUUAAAAAGCUCGUAGUUGAAUUUCGGGAUCAAUAUGUUGGUCGUGCCUCGGUACGUACUAGCUUAUUGGUUUCUUCCUUCUGACGAACCAUAAUGUCAUUUAUUUGGUGUUAUGGGGAAUCAGGACUGUUACUUUGAAAAAAUUAGAGUGUUUAAAGCAGGCUCACGCUUGAAUACAUUAGCAUGGAAUAAUGAAAUAGGACGUUUGAUUCUAUUUUGUUGGUUUCUAGGAUCGACGUAAUGAUUAAUAGGGAUAGUUGGGGGCAUUAGUAUUCAAUUGUCAGAGGUGAAAUUCUUGGAUUUAUUGAAGACUAACUACUGCGAAAGCAUUUGCCAAGGAUGUUUUCAUUAAUCAAGAACGAAAGUUAGGGGAUCGAAGACGAUCAGAUACCGUCGUAGUCUUAACCAUAAACUAUGCCGACUAGGGAUCGAAUGAUGUUAAUUUUUUAAUGACUCAUUCGGCGCCUUACG
This 520-nucleotide ribosomal RNA is filed under the name uncultured Glomus. RNAcentral's name for it is "SSU rRNA". It matches the Rfam family "Eukaryotic small subunit ribosomal RNA", at positions 569 to 1092 of the family's 1831-position model. The record is from RNAcentral. Lineage: Eukaryota; Fungi; Glomeromycota; Glomeromycetes; Glomerales; Glomeraceae.